UUGAUUGGUGCUUGCAUCAUGAUUUACAUUUGAGUGAGUGGCGAACUGGUGAGUAACACGUGGGAAACCUGCCCAGAAGCGGGGGAUAACACCUGGAAACAGAUGCUAAUACCGCAUAACAACUUGGACCGCAUGGUCCGAGUUUGAAAGAUGGCUUCGGCUAUCACUUUUGGAUGGUCCCGCGGCGUAUUAGCUAGAUGGUGGGGUAACGGCUCACCAUGGCAAUGAUACGUAGCCGACCUGAGAGGGUAAUCGGCCACAUUGGGACUGAGACACGGCCCAAACUCCUACGGGAGGCAGCAGUAGGGAAUCUUCCACAAUGGACGAAAGUCUGAUGGAGCAACGCCGCGUGAGUGAAGAAGGGUUUCGGCUCGUAAAACUCUGUUGUUAAAGAAGAACAUAUCUGAGAGUAACUGUUCAGGUAUUGACGGUAUUUAACCAGAAAGCCACGGCUAACUACGUGCCAGCAGCCGCGGUAAUACGUAGGUGGCAAGCGUUGUCCGGAUUUAUUGGGCGUAAAGCGAGCGCAGGCGGUUUUUUAAGUCUGAUGUGAAAGCCUUCGGCUCAACCGAAGAAGUGCAUCGGAAACUGGGAAACUUGAGUGCAGAAGAGGACAGUGGAACUCCAUGUGUAGCGGUGAAAUGCGUAGAUAUAUGGAAGAACACCAGUGGCGAAGGCGGCUGUCUGGUCUGUAACUGACGCUGAGGCUCGAAAGUAUGGGUAGCAAACAGGAUUAGAUACCCUGGUAGUCCAUACCGUAAACGAUGAAUGCUAAGUGUUGGAGGGUUUCCGCCCUUCAGUGCUGCAGCUAACGCAUUAAGCAUUCCGCCUGGGGAGUACGGCCGCAAGGCUGAAACUCAAAGGAAUUGACGGGGGCCCGCACAAGCGGUGGAGCAUGUGGUUUAAUUCGAAGCUACGCGAAGAACCUUACCAGGUCUUGACAUACUAUGCAAAUCUAAGAGAUUAGACGUUCCCUUCGGGGACAUGGAUACAGGUGGUGCAUGGUUGUCGUCAGCUCGUGUCGUGAGAUGUUGGGUUAAGUCCCGCAACGAGCGCAACCCUUAUUAUCAGUUGCCAGCAUUAAGUUGGGCACUCUGGUGAGACUGCCGGUGACAAACCGGAGGAAGGUGGGGAUGACGUCAAAUCAUCAUGCCCCUUAUGACCUGGGCUACACACGUGCUACAAUGGAUGGUACAACGAGUUGCGAACUCGCGAGAGUAAGCUAAUCUCUUAAAGCCAUUCUCAGUUCGGAUUGUAGGCUGCAACUCGCCUACAUGAAGUCGGAAUCGCUAGUAAUCGCGGAUCAGCAUGCCGCGGUGAAUACGUUCCCGGGCCUUGUACACACCGCCCGUCACACCAUGAGAGUUUGUAACACCCAAAGUCG
RNAcentral lists this ribosomal RNA (1384 nucleotides) under Lactiplantibacillus plantarum. RNAcentral describes it as "bacterial SSU rRNA". It matches the Rfam family "Bacterial small subunit ribosomal RNA", at positions 69 to 1429 of the family's 1533-position model. Lineage: Bacteria; Bacillati; Bacillota; Bacilli; Lactobacillales; Lactobacillaceae. The record is from RNAcentral.